Molecule: non-coding RNA, 280 nt
Organism: Delphinapterus leucas (beluga whale)
Lineage: Eukaryota; Metazoa; Chordata; Mammalia; Artiodactyla; Monodontidae
Source: RefSeq, a predicted model, not a curated record
AACCUUGACAUGAGUUCAUGGAAUAGAGGACACAAAAGCCUGAACGGAAGGUAGAAGGAUGCCUUGGUAUUAUGCACUCAGGCCUGCUGAGUGAUGGCCAGUGGGCACCAACGAACAUUUGGAGAAGAAAGCGCUGGAUCCUUGAUGUCUCCCGCUACAUGAAUAAGCUCUUGGAGAUAAUGAGGAAGCAGAUACUAAAACCCGCACGAGGUGGAAGAAGUUAACUGCGUGAUGACCAGAUUGUAGCCAUGACAUAGCUGCCACAAUUCUGAGAACUGGC